This 267-nucleotide long non-coding RNA is filed under the name Lotus japonicus. Its description in RNAcentral is "long non-coding RNA (LJAP_LNC002005)". Lineage: Eukaryota; Viridiplantae; Streptophyta; Magnoliopsida; Fabales; Fabaceae. The record is from RNAcentral.
GUUCUGUGCAUGCUUAAACAGGUAGCAAGCAUCAUGAAUCAGAAGUUAUCAUCUCACAAUAAACCCAAAAAACAUGAACAAUCUAACUACAAAGUUUGAUGAAGGCUUAUCUCUCUGAGCAGACAAUGUCAGGCUUUGUUAACAAUGUCAAAGCAGUGGUAGAUAUGUUGCUCUACUACUCAAAAAAAUUAAGAGAAGAGCCAGUGCUACCAUGUCCUUACCUGCUCCAUAAUAACAAAGAGCUAUAGCAUGCUACCUUUCUCUUUU